Molecule: long non-coding RNA, 290 nt
Organism: Saccostrea cuccullata (small rock oyster)
Lineage: Eukaryota; Metazoa; Mollusca; Bivalvia; Ostreida; Ostreidae
Exons: 4
Source: RefSeq, a predicted model, not a curated record
GUCAAAAUUGAAACCAAAGACAAUAGGAUGCGAAGAACAAACUUGCAGACACCUUGUCAGCGUUUUCAAGGAACUCGCACGGAAAAUGAACAGUGGGGAGAUUACAACUUUUUUGGAUUCUCUAAAACCCUGUUUUCAGGGCAUGGUUACUGCUAUGUACACAAAUUUAUUGUCGGAUGUUUGCAAGUACUAUCAGAAUGAGAUGGAAAGGCAACUUGACAGUUAUAAGGAACUGGAGGAUCUGAAUGCACUCCAUGAGAAGGUUACUAAAAAGGCUCGGGACAAAGUAA